This is a long non-coding RNA of Homo sapiens (human), 556 nucleotides long. Ensembl annotates it as Prader-Willi region non-protein coding RNA 1. Its record names the gene PWRN1. NCBI's taxonomy places the organism in Eukaryota, Metazoa, Chordata, Mammalia, Primates, Hominidae. The record is from Ensembl.
GAAGCCAUGCAGGCUGGAGUGCAGUGGCACAAUUAUGGCUCACUGUAGCCUCACCUUCCUGGGAUCAAGCAAUCCUCUUUCUUCAGCCUCCAGAGGAGCUGGGACCACAGAAAACAUCUUGAUGGAUGUCUUCUUAGGAUGCACUUUACAAACAUCUGUGGGGGAAUUUCACCCAUGACAAAGGCUAUAUUAAGAGGGGAAGCAAAAUGGGAAGGUGUACACCUCCCUCCCCCACAAUGUAUUGUUAAUGUGAGAAAAUAUAAUCUUCCUGGUAGAAUACAAGAAGUCACAGCCACCAUGGAGAAACUGGCGAAAGUUAAUAUUAUCCAGCCAGCCCAGAGUCCUUUCAACCAUCCUGUAUGACAACUAAGAAAAUCUGAUGGCACUUGGAUAUGACAGUAGACAACUGGACACUACUAAUCUUUCCAAGAUACAUGCUACUGCAUUCUGUGGAUGAUAUUCUGGCUUCUGAAGACUUGUCAUUGCUACAGCAACACCGAGAUGCAUUGGCACUCUUCAAUCCAGAGGAUGGGCCAUCAACGCACAAAAGUGGAAG